Phascolarctos cinereus (koala) is the source of this 1793-nucleotide non-coding RNA. Lineage: Eukaryota; Metazoa; Chordata; Mammalia; Diprotodontia; Phascolarctidae. The record is from RefSeq and is a predicted model, not a curated record.
GGAAGAGAAGGGGGGGGAAGCUAGAAAGAGAGAGACAGAGGGGGAAAAGUGCGAAAAGCCGCGGCGGCGGCUCCGCCCGGAGCCGGAGAAGUGGCCCCGCCGCCCCGAGGGGGCCGGGGAUGCAGCCGCGGCGGCGGCGGCGGCUAACGGUCCAGGGAGGCAGGCGCGGCGGGAGCCGCUAGGCGGAGAGACGCCAGAUCUGUGUUUGAGACUCAAGUCCCGUGUAUCCAUGCCAAGGAAAACUGAUCUCUGACAUGGUUCCCAUGUUUAUUGCCGCCUUUUGGCCAAAGCUACAGAGCUUCCACUGAUUUCAUAAUAUUAUACUCUUCCUGAAGAGAAAAUUAAGAAUUCCUUGAUGGAUCUGUUGUGCGACUGAAUUUUAAUUACGCCUGGAAUUAAUCUGGUAAAUCCAGGAAAACAUCUGGUUCCACAAAGAUAUACGGACUACAGUGUAAGAGCCAAAGGCCUCUCACUGAGUGACAUCAGAAAAGAGUGGAGAAAGUGUGGUUCUGGAGACAAAGGACCUGGAUUCAAAUCCCACUGUGUGGCCUUAGGAAAACCAUUUUGACAGCUCAUCUCCUUCACCUCAGGGACAAAGAUGGCCAAUGGACUGAGAGGUAUUUGAAGGAUGUGGAUGUGCCUACCUGGUUGGGGAAGGAAGGGGUGAUGAUGACAAUCAACAAAACAAUGAUUCAAGCUCUGAUUGUGGUGUUUGCUGGUGGCUGAGGUGUAUAUGCUGACUCUGAAAAUUUAACGAUCGGGGGUGUGGCCAGCUGGAGCUGGCACUCCCAAACCCCCUUUUCAGUGGACAAACAUGAAUUGGGUAUUUUGUAUACAAACUUUCUUUGAGAAGAAAAAAAAGGAAGUUCCCUUUCUUAUGGGACAUAAUACCAUGCAAAUAAUAAGAACUUGAAGGAGAAAGUCACCCACCAUGGCAUGACACAGAACUGCAAAAUCCUAGAGGUUGUCUGGUCCAAUUAGAACCUGGACAAGAAUCCUGUUCUCUGGAACACACUGGACAUGUUGUCGUCCAGCUUUUGAAAACAUCUACAGAGUGGAAACUCAUCAUUUCCCAAAGCAGCCCGUUGCACUUAGGGUAUCGGUGGGAAGGUUCUCCUUGCAUCAAGCCUCAAUUUGUCUGCAGUUUCCACUCAUCACUACUAGUUGUAUCCUCCGGGGCAAGCUGAACAAGCCUAAUUCUUCUUCUCAUCAGAAUCCUUCAAAUACUUGAAGUCACCUGUAACAAGGUACACAUUUCAUCUCCCUCCCUUCUUCGUAGAGUUGGGGGACCAUGAAGUGUGGAAUGGCACAUGCCCUGUUGGGCAGGGUUGAGGAGUUUAGUGUUGCAGAAUUGCUUUUUUUUCUUCCUCUUUGUUAUGAGCAAUGACUUGCUGGAUAGUGGAGUAGUGAGGGAUCUAUUUGGAUCUAUAUGAAAACAAAAGACUGAUAAAAAUAAGAUAAAAAUUUCAAGAGAGAAUUGCAUUGAAAAAGAAAGAAUUAGUGACCAUUUUAAACAGUAAUUUUCUUAAUAGUAGGCUCAGCCAUUCACCAAGUAUAUUAUAAUGAAGAUACCUUUGAGUGUACUGGCUAACUAAAUGUCUGCUAAGGUCCCUUCUGACUCUCAAAUGCUGCAAUUCUGUGAUUCUAGGUGGGAAAAUCAGCUAGUCCUCAAAGAGCAACAUUAGAUCUACUUUAUGAUAGAAAAAUAGUUGGAUAGUAUAUGAUUUAAAGAAAAACACAGGAGAGGUGAGGGAGGCAGAGAGAAAAUUAGAAACUCAAAAUUUUAAAAAAAU